Meleagris gallopavo (turkey) is the source of this 4607-nucleotide non-coding RNA. The record is from RefSeq and is a predicted model, not a curated record. Lineage: Eukaryota; Metazoa; Chordata; Aves; Galliformes; Phasianidae.
CGAAGGCCAAGCUGGGUGUUCUGGUUGAGCAGGAUUGCAAGGCCAAGAACCAUGCAGGGAUAUCCUCUUGGGCUGGCAGGUGUCCAGUAGUGGCUAGGUCCCUUUGGGUCACAAAGGACACGACGACAGCCUACAGCCUGGCUCUCAUCUCCACACUGCUGAGCCACACUGAGAGUUACAGUUUUUACACUUUACUGCUCGUUUGUGAGAGCCUAGCUAAAAGCCGCCUUCAAACCCUGAAAGCAUGCAGCUUCUUGCAGCAGCCCCAGGACAUGCGAUGUUGGUCUUCAAGUGCCCAAAAGAGAGCACAUGAGCCUGGUGGGUCGUUGUGAUGCUCUCUGCCAGGGGAGACAGCACAGCAGAGAGCAUCUCCUGCCACCUCACCCUGCUGGCUGCACAGCUUGAAAGAAUCUGGUUGCUGUUUUCAUACACUGCAGCAGAGAAGCUGUUACUUUGUUCUGUCUGCUGCUUAGAAAAACACACCAAGGUCAAACAAAGAAUAUUACUUGGAGGCUCUUCCCAGCAGCAUCAGGGUUUGGGUGCCAAACAGAGGUUACACCAGCAGGAAAAACGCUUCUGCCUCUGACGUCUGUAUGGUGACCCCGAACAGCCAGCACAGGGUGAGUUUGUGCUUAGCCCGAGGAUUGUUUGCAAAAUGAUCAAUGACGCACACAGAUGGGCUCUUGCUUGCCUUGCUGCACACUGCAAAUAUUGCUUUUAACAAUGAGAUUUUGCUGAGCAGUUCUGAAUGCACCCAAACUGGAAUGCCCAAGAUAAAACUGCAAAUGGGAAGUGACAAGAUCCCCAGCCACCUUCCAAGAGGGACUGAGUGGUCAGCCUGCUGCCUUGGGCUGAGCCUGCGGGGCUAUUUCAGCAGGCUGAAGAACAGAUGCAACGAAUGUCACCUACCCUCUGCUGCUGCUGCUCUGAAGCUCAGCACCAUGUGUAAGCUGAAAAUCCUUUUCCACUCUGUCUCUGGAGCAAUCCUGGUUCUUACAGUUGGAAUUCUUUCAAUUUCCAAACAAGAUCUAAUCAGAGCUUCUGCAGGGGUCAAAGUCAAUAACAAUAGACAAGUGCCAGUUUCACUUGCAGAAUCUCUAAUUACUUUUACUAAUUGUCAGUUGGCUGUUACAGUGUGAUUGCUCCAAGUCUCCUAACCAAGCGCAACUGAGUAAUGAGGUGAGAAGAGCUUAGGAGAGAAAGGCCAGUGGGCUUAUUCCCUGCUUUGAGGUUAGGUGGACAAUGGUGGCCAGAUUCUGCUCCCAGUUACUCUGGUGUGAAUCUCAGCAGAGUUGCUCUGGAUUUAUACCUAUGUAGCUCAGAAAACAACCUGUCCUGUCCCAGCUUUUCUUCUUUAGUGAUCACUCUUCUAAAUCCUGGGAUCUGCUUCUCCCCAUGAGCUCCUGCCUUCCCCAAGCAGCUGGUUUGGCAAGUGCCAGGCUCUGAGGGUUUCCACAUGGCUUUGCAGAUGCUUUCAGUUGCAAGCAAAGAGAAACUCAAGAGGCACAAUGCCUGUUGUGAGCACAGCCACUCAGCUAACAGGUCCUAACGGCCCUGCCUGGGUCCCAGAAAAACCUGUGGGUCAGCAGCACCACAGAAAUUACAGGGUAAUGUUCUGCAUUUAAAACGGAGGGGUUUUAAUCUUUGGCACCAGUGAAAGGCUGUUUUUCACAAAACUGAGUGAUAAAACUCUACAAGAAACACUCAUCCCCAAACUAUCUGUGUGGCUUUUGCACACAUCUGUUUCUCUCCUGUCCUCAAGAGAUGUCUAAAAUCUAAUUAACCAAUUAAUUUGCAAAUAUAUUCUAAUUUAUUCAAGGCAGAUUUUCUUAGUGUUAAAUUAUCUGACAGUGAACCAUACGCUGCACACAGGAACAGGACUUCAUUAAAAUACCAAAGGUUACACAAAUGGAAUAAAAAUUAUAUUUGUACUACAGUCAGCACAUACUUAUAUCUUCUAAUGAGAAAAUGUGUUUGUAUUUCCCUAUUUCUAAUUUGUUUUUGCAUGUUUGGUGUAAACCUGCGGAUAAUGCAUUAGCGAUACCAAGCUACCACACCUUGUGCUAAAACGUGAAUAUUGCAGGAGGCCCCCAUGUCUGCUGAACUUGUGAGACACUUUCAGUACAUAAAUAAACCACAGUGAAGGCUGGCAUGACUCAUCUCAUCCCAAAGGAUGCCCCGGUUCCUUCCCUACAGAAAGGGUAGAGUCACCGUGUGGAUUUGCCUCCCGCAGCAGGAAGCUCUUUGUUGGGAAAUCUCAAGUCAUCAUUGACAGCAAUUGUGCAGAAUCUGUCUGAAGGGAAAAAAAGAAAAGCUAAUACAUUGUUCUGGAUUGCUGUACUGAAAUGCUUUUUCCCCUCCCAACUCCAGUUGUGUGAGUACAAAUACAACAGCUGGUUCCAAUUCUGCCGGCUACUGGAGUGAUUGUAUCAUUCACUGUGGCAUGGCAUCAGUCACAGCCAUGCUCAACCUUCUUGCAAGUGCAGGGGAUGUGCUGCUGUGUUUGGCAAAAAGAGUCAACAACAACAGAAACACCCUCAUGAGUUACUAACUAUUUGAGUAUACAGAACAAACAAAAAUACUCUGAAAACACUGGGCCCAGAAUUACCUCUUGAAGACAUUAAUACCUAACAGCUGUUUUCUUUGCUUGACGAGCAACUUAGUAUUUUAUUACAGUUUAAUACUCUACAGUUCCACCACAGUCAAUUAAGACCAAGUUACUGUUGUUCAGGCAUACAUAUACAUAAGUAGGGCCGGUCCAAUGCUGGGAGAUGAGUUAAAUCUGUAACAUGACAGAAAAUGAGGGACUUCUCUCACACCACAGAACAGGUCAGUGGCUGAGCUAAGAGCAGUCUGGGCUCUCAACACUGCAAGCCUUCAGCUGUCAAGAUGCACCCAACGGGAUAUGUCCAACACGAUGCACAACCCAGCAUGAUGUUUGUAAUUAGCCACGACCAGUCAUUAACAGGGUGUCAGACUCUGCCUCAGCAGAAGCUUCUCUAGCAGCAUUAAGAAGGCACGAAAAACAUGAAAAGAGUGAGAUAAAUGAGUAGGGAAGGACCCUGAGAGCUUAGCAGUGCAACAAGUGACAGUGCUCAUGCAGCCUCAAAUGCACCCAACCAGAAUUUGAUCUGGAUCCAAAGGCAGCUAAGGAGAGUGAUCAGAACAGUGUCACAGUAAGUGCUGAAGCUCGGCAAGGACACCAGAGCCAGUCCGAUGAGGAGCACACAGUAACCAGCAAUGCAGAAAAGGCAAAAAAUGCAACAAUAAGAACAGCCAAUAAAAAGAAGAUGGAUUUAAAGUGCUAAAACUUUUUUUAAUUUUUCUUAAGCUGCAGCUUAUAAUUAAGCUGUGGAACUAAUUGUCUCUAAAUAUAAUUGAGGCCAGGAACUUCUGUGAGAUCAGAGAAAGAAUGAGCAGUAGAUAAUGAGAGUAUCACAGCUCUGUUAUAUUCAACACACACAGAGCCAGGGAUGCACAAACUCUGUGUUUCCAGGGUGCACCUCAAUCCAGAGGAAAGGAAGAAGCUGGCCCUGGGGAGAAUAAUUAUGUAGUCACCCCUUGUGGAUAUUAACAUCAAAAUACAUGUCAGUGGGUAAGGAAACGCCCUCCAGCUGUCCACACUGGAUACUGCUGCCUCCUUUAUCCCCAGGUCUUCCCUUUCAGAUAAACCCCAGAAGAGCAACUCCAAAGGGAAUGAAAGGAGUUGUCAGAGAACUGCAGAGCAGACACAGGACCUGAAACUAGAUUUAAUGUUUUGCCAGUUGUUUAGGUUUUCUUCCUGUACAGCUGUAUGUGGAACAUGCAAGCACAUGCUCAGCUCAGAGAGGUCAGCAGCACAUGGGCUGGCUUUGGCAGAGAGUGGAACUGUUUGAGUUUCUGAUCAUGGCUCGUUAUGUCAGCAGAACCUGUCCACACAGUCCCACAUGACCAAUUAUUCUUCCCAAAAGCUUUUAAAUUUAUUUAUCUUUGUUCAUAUCCAAACCAAAGAAUUAAGCUGUGCAGCUGUUUAUUUGCUCUCUGUGCUGGUCACAGGCAGAGCUGCCUCAAACCGCUCAGGACUGAAAAUGAAACUCUCGUGACCUCACAAACAAACCACUGAAAUGUCCUCAUAAAGGAUCUCAGUUAUUUCUAGCCUUUGCCUUGAACCUCUGUGGUUGAAGACCUUCGAACCCUCGAAGAACAAGAGAUUGUUGGGUUUUUCCCUAUUUAAAGGCUUUCUUGUCCUCUUCAGCAGAGUGGAAGCAAGGCAUUGCCUUGGCAAGACGUGGGAAAGACAGGCCCACCUGCAUGAGACUCCUGAGCUGGAGGCGAAAGAAUGAAGAGGAGAUUCAGAUGAGAGCUUCAGCUGAGCCAUUUCCCAAGCCUUCAUUGCCAUGCCCACCUUCUCCUAGGGCUGCAGGGAUCACUGGGCUGCAAACAGCAGUGACGAAGCAUCACUGAGGGUGGAUCCAAGCUCUGAGCUGACAGGACAAAACCCAUCUCCACUCUUGGGAUAGAGGAUGUAAGAGUCUGCAUGGCAGCCUAGGCUCAGAGGACACCACUGAGUCUGCUGCAGCCCCCAAGCCCAGACAGAUGAAUGAACACACAUGGAAAGACAGGGACAU